ACGACCCAAGGUCUUUCAUACCAUCAACAGCCUAGAGUUUUUUCAUAGCAUUUAAAGCCCUGAUCUCAAGACCUAAAGUGGUUCAUGUCAUUAGAAGCCCUGAGUUGUUCAUAGCAUCUAAACCCUUAUGCUCAUGACCCGAUGUCAUUCAUGUCAUCCAUAGCCUAGAGUUAUUCAUAGCAUCUAGAGCCUUGAGCGUCAAGAACUAGGGUUGUUCAUGUUUUCCACAACCUUGAGAUAAUCAUAGAAUCAAGUGGCUUGAGUUGUUCAUAGCAUCUAGAGCCUUAAGGUCAUAACUCGGAUUAGCUCAUGUCAACGAUAGCCCUGAACUGUUGAUAACAUUUAAAGCCCUAAGCCCAUGACCCAAGGUCGUUCAUUUCAACCAUAACCCUAAGAUGUUCAUAGUAUCUAUAGUGCUUUGUUCACGACCCCGAGUCAUUCAUGUCAUUCAGAACCUUAAGUUGUUCAUAACAUCUUGAACCCCGAGGUCAUGACCCAAAGUCUUUCAUGUCAUUGAUAACCUUAAUUUGUUCAUAGCAUCUAAAGCUUGGAGCACACAACCUGGAGUCAUUGAAGUCAACCACAACCCAGAGUUGUUCAUAGCAUCUAGAGCCCAAAGCUCACAACCCAAAGUAGCAAAUGUGAUCCACAGCCCUAAGCUAUUCAUAUCAUCUAGAGCCCUGAGCUCAUGGCCCAAAGUAGAUCAUGUCAUUCAUGACCUUGAGUUGUUCAUAACAUCAAGAGCUUUGAGCUCACAAACUAUAGUUUUUCAUGUCAUCGACAAACUUGAGUUGUUCAUAGCAUCAAAAAACCUAAGCUCACAAUCAAGAUUCGCUCAUAUCUACUAAAGCCUAGAGUUGUUCAUGGCAUCUAAAGCCUUGAGCUCACGACCCAUAGUAGCUCAUGUCAUUCAUAAUCGUGAGUUAUUACUAGCAUCCAGAGCCUUGAGCUCAUGACCCAGAGUUGUUCAUCUCAGCCAUAGCCUAGUGUUGUUCAUAGUCGCUAGAACCCUGAGCCCACAACCUAGAGUAACCUAUGUUAUCCAUAGCCCAGAGCGGUUCAUAGCAUCUAGAGACCUAAGCUCACAACCUAAAGUCAUUCGAGUCAACCACAGCCUAGAGCUAUUCAUCACAUCUAGAGCCCUGAGGUCACAAUCCAUUGUAGCUAAUGUGAUCCAUAGGCCUGAGCUGUCUAUAGCAUCUAGAGCCUUGAGCUCACAACCAAGAGUAGAUCAUGCCAUCCACAACCUUGAGUUGUCCAUGACAUUAGGAGCCUUGAGCUCACAACCUAUAGUCUUUCAUGUCAUCGCCAUCCCUGAACUAUUCAUAGCAUCAAGAAGCCAAAGCUCAUGAUCGAGAGUCGUUCACGUCUACCAAAGUCUAGAGUUGUUAAUAACAUUUAGAGCCCUGAGCUCACUACCCAUAGUAGCUCAUGUCAUUCACAACCAUGAGGUGUUAAUAACAUCCAGAGCCUUAAGUUCCCAACCCAAAGUUGUUCAUGUAAGCCAUAGCCUAGAGCUGUUCAUAGCAGCUAGAGCCUUGAGCUCACGAACAAGAGAAUCCCAUGUUAUUCAUAGCCAGAGUGGUUCAUACCAUUUGGAGACCUAAGCUCAUGACCUAGAGUCGUUCAUUUCCACCAUAGCUUAGAGUUAUUCAUAGCAUCUAGAGUCCUUAGAUCCCGACCCAGAGUAGCUCAUGUCAUCCACAGCCUAGAGUUGUUCAUAGCAUUUGGAGCCUUGAGCUCACAACUUAAAGUAGAUGAUGUCAUCCAAUACCUUGAGCUCUUCAUAGAAUCUUGAGCCUUGAGCUCACAACACAAAUUUUUUAAUAUCAUCGACAUUCCUGGGCUGUUCAUAGCAUCAAGAGCCCUGACCGUACAACCUGAAGUAGUUCAUGCCAAUAUUUUCCCAAACCUGUUCAUAACAUCUAAAGCCCUGAGCUCACGACCUAGAGUAGCUUACGACUUUGACUACCCUAAGUUGUUCAUAGCAUCUAAAGCCUUGAGAGCACAACCCGAAGUCGUUCAUGUGAACCACAACCUUGAGAUGUUCUUGGUAUCCACUACCUUCACCUAUUCAUAUCAUUUAGAGCCCUAAGCUCAUGACCUGGAUUCUUUUGUGUCAUCAACAGCCCUGAUUUGUUCAUAGCUUCUAGAGUCCUGAGCUCACGACCCAAAGCUGUUCAAAUCAACUAUAGCCAAGAGUUAUUCAUAGCAUCUAAAGCCCUGAGCUUAUGACCUAAUGUUGCUCAAGUCAUCAACAACCCCGAGCAUUUCAUAGCAUCUUAGGCUUUAAGCUCACGACCAAGAGUCGUUCAUGUCAACCACAGCCUUAAGUUAUGCAUUGUAUCUGGAGCCCUAAGCUAAUGACCUAGAGUAGCUCAUGUCAUCCAUAGCCUUGAGGUGUUCAUAGGAUUUAAAGCUUUGAGAAGACAACUCAAUGUCAUUCAUGUCAACCACAAUCAUGAGUUGUUCAUAGUAUAUAAAGCCCUAAGCUCACAAUCAUGAGUUGUUCAUAUUGUCCACAACCCUAAGUUGUUCAUAGCAUUUAGAGCCCUGAGCUCAUGACCCGGAGUCAUUCAUAUUGUCCACAACCCUAAGUUGUUCAUAGCAUUUAGAGCCCUAAGCUCAUGACCCGGAGUUUUUCAUGUCAUCAACAUCCUUGAGUUCUACAUAGUAUCUAGACCCCUAAGCUCACGAACCAGGGUUGUUCAUGUGAACCAUAGCCUAGAGUUGUUGAUUGCAUCUAGAGCCCUAAGCUCAUGACGUAGAGUGCCACAUGUCUUCGAUAACCUUAGUUGUUUAUAGCGUCCAAAGACCAAAGCACUUCAUAGCAUCUAGAGUCUUGAGCUCAAGACCCAAAUUCUUUCAUGUCAUUCACACCUUAGAGCAGUUCAUAUCAUCUAGAACCUUGAGUUGUUCAUAGCAUCUAAAGGCUUGAGCUCACAACCUAGAAAUUUUCAUGUCAUCCACAACCUUCAAUUACUCAUAGCAUCUAGAGCCUUGAGCUCAUGACCUAAAGUCAUACAUUUUAACCACAACCCUAAGUUGUUACUAUCAUCUUGAGCACUGAGCUCACAACCCAUAGUCAUUCAUGUCACCCACAGCCCAACGUUGUUCAUAAGAUUUAGAGCCAUGAGCUCACGACCUAGAGUAGCCCAUGUUAUCCACAACCCUAAG
RNAcentral lists this long non-coding RNA (3177 nucleotides) under Vitis vinifera (wine grape). Its description in RNAcentral is "long non-coding RNA (VVIN_LNC003254)". The record is from RNAcentral. Lineage: Eukaryota; Viridiplantae; Streptophyta; Magnoliopsida; Vitales; Vitaceae.